Molecule: ribosomal RNA, 253 nt
Filed under: uncultured bacterium
Lineage: Bacteria
Description: partial 16S ribosomal RNA
Rfam family: Bacterial small subunit ribosomal RNA
Source: RNAcentral
UACGUAGGGCGCGAGCGUUGUCCGGAAUUAUUGGGCGUAAAGAGCUCGUAGGCGGCUUGUCACGUCGGGUGUGAAAGCCCGGGGCUUAACCCCGGGUCUGCAUUCGAUACGGGCAGGCUAGAGUGUGGUAGGGGAGAUCGGAAUUCCUGGUGUAGCGGUGAAAUGCGCAGAUAUCAGGAGGAACACCGGUGGCGAAGGCGGAUCUCUGGGCCAUUACUGACGCUGAGGAGCGAAAGCGUGGGGAGCAAACAGG